RNAcentral lists this ribosomal RNA (465 nucleotides) under uncultured bacterium. Its description in RNAcentral is "partial 16S ribosomal RNA". It matches the Rfam family "Bacterial small subunit ribosomal RNA", at positions 339 to 795 of the family's 1533-position model. The record is from RNAcentral.
CUACGGGCGGCACCAGUGGGGAAUAUUGGACAAUGGGGGAAACCCUGAUCCAGCAAUGCCGCGUGUGUGAAGAAGGCCUGCGGGUUGUAAAGCACUUUCGGUUGGGAGGACUGCUUCUAGCACUAAUAUUGUUGGAAGUUGACGUUACCUUCAGAAGAAGCACCGGCUAACUCCGUGCCAGCAGCCGCGGUAAUACGGAGGGUGCAAGCGUUAAUCGGAAUUACUGGGCGUAAAGCGCGCGUAGGCGGCUAGAUCAGUCGGGUGUGAAAGCCCCGGGCUUAACCUGGGAACUGCAUCCGAUACUGUCUAGCUUGAGUAAAGGAGAGGAGAGUGGAAUUCCACAUGUAGCGGUGAAAUGCGUAGAUAUGUGGAGGAACACCAAUGGCGAAGGCAGCUCUCUGGCCUGAUACUGACGCUGAGGUGCGGAAGCGUGGGGAGCAAACAGGAUUAGAUACCCCGGUAGUC